RNAcentral lists this ribosomal RNA (425 nucleotides) under uncultured bacterium. Its description in RNAcentral is "bacterial SSU rRNA". It matches the Rfam family "Bacterial small subunit ribosomal RNA", at positions 359 to 775 of the family's 1533-position model. The record is from RNAcentral.
GAAUAUUGGACGAUGGGGGGAACCCUGAUCCAGCCAUGCCGCGUGUGUGAAGAAGGCCUUUUGGUUGUAAAGCACUGUAAGCGAGGAGGAGGCUACUCUAGUUAAUACCUAGGGCUAGUGGACGUUACUCGCAGAAUACGCACCGGCUAACUCUAUGCCAGCCGCCGCGGUAAUACAGUGGUUGCAAGCGUUAAUCGGAUUUACUGGGCGUAAAGCGCGCGUAGGUGGCCAAUUAAGUCAAAUGUGAAAUCCCCGAGCUUAACUUGGGAAUUGCAUGCGAUACUGGUUGGCUAGAGUAUGGGAGAGGAUGGUAGAAUUCCAGGUGUAGCGGUGAAAUGCGUAGAGAUCUGGAGGAAUACCGAUGGCGAAGGCAGCCAUCUGGCCUAAUACUGACACUGAGGUGCGAAAGCAUGGGGAGCAAACAG